Molecule: ribosomal RNA, 190 nt
Filed under: Trichinella papuae
Lineage: Eukaryota; Metazoa; Nematoda; Enoplea; Trichinellida; Trichinellidae
Description: partial large subunit ribosomal RNA
Rfam family: Bacterial large subunit ribosomal RNA
Source: RNAcentral
UUUUGGGAUAAAACUUUAAAAUAAAAGAGUUAUCACCACCUCAAAUAAAACAGUUACUCUAGGGAUAACAGCACAAUAAAAGCCAAGAGAACUUAUCUACCCUUUAGAUUGUGACCUCGAUGUUGAAUCAAGAAUUACUAGCCGUAGAAGGCUAACAAGUUUCGUCUGUUCGACGACACAUAAAUACGUG